This 253-nucleotide ribosomal RNA is filed under the name uncultured bacterium. RNAcentral's name for it is "partial 16S ribosomal RNA". It matches the Rfam family "Bacterial small subunit ribosomal RNA", at positions 524 to 776 of the family's 1533-position model. The record is from RNAcentral.
GACAGAGGUUGCAAACGUUGUUCGGAAUCACUGGGCAUAAAGCGCACGUAGGCGGUCUGUUAAGUCAGGUGUGAAAGCCCCCGGCUCAACCGGGGAACAGCAUUUGAUACUGGCAGACUCGAGGAUGGUAGGGGUGAGUGGAACUCCAGGUGGAGCGGUGAAAUGCGUAGAUAUCUGGAGGAACACCGGUGGCGAAGGCGGCUUUCUGGGCCUGUCCUGACGCUGAGGCGCGAAAGCUGGGGGAGCGAACAGG